This 407-nucleotide ribosomal RNA is filed under the name uncultured prokaryote. RNAcentral's name for it is "bacterial SSU rRNA". It matches the Rfam family "Bacterial small subunit ribosomal RNA", at positions 355 to 774 of the family's 1533-position model. The record is from RNAcentral.
UGGGGAAUAUUGCACAAUGGGCGAAAGCCUGAUGCAGCAACGCCGCGUGCGGGAUGACGGCCUUCGGGUUGUAAACCGCUUUCAGCAGGGACGAAGUGAAAAUGACGGUACCUGCAGAAGAAGCACCGGCUAACUACGUGCCAGCAGCCGCGGUGAUACGUAGGGUGCGAGCGUUGUCCGGAAUUAUUGGGUGUAAAGAGCUUGUAGGCGGUCUGUUGCGUCGGAAGUGAAAACUCAGGGCUUAACCCUGAGCCUGCUUUCGAUACGGGCAGACUUGAGGGAUGUAGGGGAGAACGGAAUUCCUGGUGGAGCGGUGGAAUGCGCAGAUAUCAGGAGGAACACCAGUGGCGAAGGCGGUUCUCUGGACAUUUCCUGACGCUGAGAAGCGAAAGCGUGGGGAGCAAACA